UCCUACGGGGGGCAGCAGUGGGGAAUAUUGCACAAUGGGGGGAACCCUGAUGCAGCGACGCCGCGUGAGCGAAGAAGUAUUUCGGUAUGUAAAGCUCUAUCAGCAGGGAAGAAAAUGACGGUACCUGACUAAGAAGCCCCGGCUAACUACGUGCCAGCAGCCGCGGUAAUACGUAGGGGGCAAGCGUUAUCCGGAUUUACUGGGUGUAAAGGGAGCGUAGACGGUUCUGCAAGUCUGAAGUGAAAGCCCGUGGCUUAACCGCGGAACGGCU
Molecule: ribosomal RNA, 271 nt
Filed under: uncultured bacterium
Lineage: Bacteria
Description: partial 16S ribosomal RNA
Rfam family: Bacterial small subunit ribosomal RNA
Source: RNAcentral